Molecule: ribosomal RNA, 249 nt
Filed under: uncultured bacterium
Lineage: Bacteria
Description: partial small subunit ribosomal RNA
Rfam family: Bacterial small subunit ribosomal RNA
Source: RNAcentral
AGAAUCAACGCUGGCGGCGUGCCUAACACAUGCAAGUCGAACGAGAAAGUGGAGCAAUCCAUGAGUAAAGUGGCGCACGGGUGAGUAACACGUGACUAACCUACCCCUUGAGUGGGGGAUAACCGUAGACGAAAUCUGGGCUAAUACCGCAUAAUACCUUCGGGUCAAAGGAGCAAUUCGCUUAAGGAGGGGGUCGCGGCCGAUUAGGUUAGUUGGCGGGGUAAUGGCCCACCAAGACUAUGAUCGGUA